Molecule: ribosomal RNA, 468 nt
Filed under: uncultured Acidovorax sp.
Lineage: Bacteria; Pseudomonadati; Pseudomonadota; Betaproteobacteria; Burkholderiales; Comamonadaceae
Description: bacterial SSU rRNA
Rfam family: Bacterial small subunit ribosomal RNA
Source: RNAcentral
UUGACGGGACCGCACAAGCGGUGGAUGAUGUGGUUAAUUCGAUGCAACGCGAAAACCUUACCCACCUUUGACAUGUACGGAAUCCUUUAGAGAUAGAGGAGUGCUCGAAAGAGAGCCGUAACACAGGUGCUGCAUGGCUGUCGUCAGCUCGUGUCGUGAGAUGUUGGGUUAAGUCCCGCAACGAGCGCAACCCUUGUCAUUAGUUGCUACAUUCAGUUGGGCACUCUAAUGAGACUGCCGGUGACAAACCGGAGGAAGGUGGGGAUGACGUCAAGUCCUCAUGGCCCUUAUAGGUGGGGCUACACACGUCAUACAAUGGAUGGUACAAAGGGUCGCCAACCCGCGAGGGGGAGCCAAUCCCAUAAAGCCAUUCGUAGUCCGGAUCGCAGUCUGCAACUCGACUGCGUGAAGUCGGAAUCGCUAGUAAUCGUGGAUCAGAAUGUCACGGUGAAUACGUUCCCGGGUCUU